CCUACGGGCGGCAGCAGUAGGGAAUUUUCGGCAAUGGGGGGAACCCUGACCGAGCAACGCCGCGUGAACGAAGAAGUUAUUCGUAAUGUAAAGUUCUUUUAACAGGGAAGAAAGAGAAAUUUGACGGUACCUUAUGAAUAAGCUCCGGCUAACUACGUGCCAGCAGCCGCGGUCAUACGUGGGGAGCGAGCGUUAUCGGGAAUUAUUGGGCGUAAAGGGUGUGUAGAGGGCAUAGUAAGUCUUUUGUAAAAAUGCUGGGCUCAACCCAGUAGGGCAAAAGAUACUGCAAAGCUAGAGUAUGACAGAGGCAAGUGGAACUACAGGUGUAGCGGUAAAAUGCGUAAAUAUAUGUAAGAACACCAGUGGCGAAGGCGGCUUGCUGGGUCGAUACUGACAUUGAGGCACGAAAGCGUGGGGAGCAAACAGGAUUAGAUACCCCAGUAGUC
This 446-nucleotide ribosomal RNA is filed under the name uncultured bacterium. RNAcentral describes it as "partial 16S ribosomal RNA". It matches the Rfam family "Bacterial small subunit ribosomal RNA", at positions 338 to 795 of the family's 1533-position model. The record is from RNAcentral.